This 480-nucleotide ribosomal RNA is filed under the name uncultured bacterium. Its description in RNAcentral is "bacterial SSU rRNA". It matches the Rfam family "Bacterial small subunit ribosomal RNA", at positions 8 to 502 of the family's 1533-position model. The record is from RNAcentral.
AGAGUUUGAUCCUGGCUCAGAAUGAACGCUGGCGGCGUGCUUAACACAUGCAAGUCGAACGAGAACGGAUCUAGCUUGCUAGAUUGUCAGCUAAGUGGCGCACGGGUGAGUAAUGUAUAGGUAACCUACCCCGAAGAGCGGGAUAACGUCUGGAAACGGACGCUAAUACUGCAUAUACCUUCUGACCAUAAGGUUAGAAGGAAAAUGAAUUUCGCUUCGGGAUGGGCCUUUAUCGCAUCAGCUAGUUGGUAAGGUAACGGCUUACCAAGGCUAUGACGCGUAGCUGAUCUGAGAGGAUGAUCAGCCACACUGGUACUGAGACACGGACCAGACUCCUACGGGAGGCAGCAGUGGGGAAUAUUGCACAAUGGAGGAAACUCUGAUGCAGCAACGCCGCGUGGAGGAUGACACAUUUCGGUGCGUAAACUCCUUUUAUAGGUCAAGAUAAUGACGGUAGCCUAUGAAUAAGCACCGCUAACU